AUGGACCUUUUCGGUCCCACUCAUUACUCAACUCUUACUACUACUGCUUGUCUCUAUGGCUUUGUCAUUGUUGAUGAUUAUUCAAGAUAUACUUGGGUGCAUAUCAUCACUUCUUGGGUCGUAAUUACUAUCUUGCUAGGUUCAGUUGUCAUAGCUGUUCGGAAUCCACAAACCACCCCGACCGACGGUCAGAAUUUUUUUGAAUAUGUCCUUGAGUUUAUUUGAGACUUGAGCAAAACUCAGAUUGGAGAAGAAUAUGGUCCCUGGGUUCCCUUUAUUGGAACUAUGUUCAUUUUUAUUUUUGUUUUGAAUUGGUCGGGUGCUCUUCUCUACAAGACUGAAGUGUGGGAUGUCUUCAGACGCUUUGCCAAUCGAGCCAUGAACAACUAUGGCGUCAAGAUCAAGCACAUCAGAAGUGACAAUGGCACUGAAUUCAAGAACACUGGUCUAGACACUUAUCUUGAUACUUUGGGCAUUACACAUGAAUUCUCAGCUCCGUACACACUGCAGUAG
RNAcentral lists this ribosomal RNA (513 nucleotides) under Triticum aestivum (bread wheat). Its description in RNAcentral is "partial small subunit ribosomal RNA". The record is from RNAcentral. Lineage: Eukaryota; Viridiplantae; Streptophyta; Magnoliopsida; Poales; Poaceae.